CCUACGGGUGGCAGCAGUGGGGAAUAUUGGACAAUGGGCGAAAGCCUGAUCCAGCCAUGCCGCGUGUGUGAAGAAGGCCUUCGGGUUGUAAAGCACUUUCAGUGGGGAAGAAAGCCUUGGGGCUAAUACCCUCGAGGAAGUACAUCACCCACAGAAGAAGCACCGGCUAACUCCGUGCCAGCAGCCGCGGUAAUACGGAGGGUGCGAGCGUUAAUCGGAAUUACUGGGCGUAAAGCGCGCGUAGGCGGUCUGAUAAGCCGGUUGUGAAAGCCCCGGGCUCAACCUGGGAACGGCAUCCGGAACUGUCAGGCUAGAGUGCAGGAGAGGAAGGUAGAAUUCCCGGUGUAGCGGUGAAAUGCGUAGAGAUCGGGAGGAAUACCAGUGGCGAAGGCGGCUUUCUGGACUGACACUGACGCUGAGGUGCGAAAGCGUGGGUAGCAAACAGGAUUAGAUACCCUAGUAGUC
Molecule: ribosomal RNA, 465 nt
Filed under: Vreelandella stevensii
Lineage: Bacteria; Pseudomonadati; Pseudomonadota; Gammaproteobacteria; Oceanospirillales; Halomonadaceae
Description: partial 16S ribosomal RNA
Rfam family: Bacterial small subunit ribosomal RNA
Source: RNAcentral